UAGUAAGUGGUGAAAACUCAA
This 21-nucleotide non-coding RNA is filed under the name Caenorhabditis elegans. Lineage: Eukaryota; Metazoa; Nematoda; Chromadorea; Rhabditida; Rhabditidae. The record is from RNAcentral.